This 250-nucleotide ribosomal RNA is filed under the name Glomeraceae sp. Its description in RNAcentral is "partial large subunit ribosomal RNA". The record is from RNAcentral. Lineage: Eukaryota; Fungi; Glomeromycota; Glomeromycetes; Glomerales; Glomeraceae.
CGUGAAAUUGUUGAAAGGGAAACGAUUGAAGUCAGUCGUACCGAUGGGCAUUCAGCUCUUCGAGUGCGAUUGUGCGGGCGUUGAGGAGUUAAAACCCCUCGCGUUUUGCAUAUUUGUGCUCUUCGGGUGUACUUGCUCGUAUGGUAGGUUAACAUCAAUUCAGGUCGUCAUAAAAUGACGGGAGGAUUGUAGCUUCGAUCUCGUUUUGAAGUGUUAUAGCCUCUGGUAGAUGUGAUGAUCGGGAUUGAGG